Molecule: ribosomal RNA, 1071 nt
Filed under: Triticum aestivum (bread wheat)
Lineage: Eukaryota; Viridiplantae; Streptophyta; Magnoliopsida; Poales; Poaceae
Description: partial small subunit ribosomal RNA
Source: RNAcentral
AUGACAGUUGAGCAUUUGAGUUGUAUCAAUGGUAUCCUUCCUGAAGGUCAUCAAUUUAACGCUGAGGAAUCUGUUGACUACAUUGAGAUGGAGAAAAUUUUAAUCAGUGAUAUGCGCGACGGUGCCGCUAAUCUAGUUCAGAGCUCGGUUCGCCUGUUGAACAACAUGAAGCAUUUCAGAACUAUGCAAAACUCUCGCUGCAAGCCAUAUGAAGAAAGUGCAAAUGUUGUUAUCAAGCAGUUUGAGCAGGAUGAGGCUGCUGCCACCGACAGCAGGGCUGGUGAUGGUAUUGAGGCUAAUGUUUUUGACCACGAAACGAAUGAUGUUGGCUUUGAGCGUCCUAAUGUUGAUAUUGAUCACGAUGAGGCUGCUGGCACCGACAGCAGGGCUGAUGAUGGUACUGAGGCUAAUGUUUCUGAUCAACGUACGAACGAUGUUGGCUCGCAGCACCCUAUUGUUGAUGAGACCAGUCAUAAUGUUGAGGCUGCUGUUGACGGUGGAGUUAAUGAUCUAACCACUGAUAAGUGCAAGGGUCCUAUUGUUGGCGAUGAGCCUUGUUUGCCUGUUGGUGAUGUCGCUUUGAAUUUUAGCAGCAGCAAGUUCGAUGAUGUUGCUAUGAAUGCUUCCAAGAUUACUAUUGUUGAGCGUGAGGUUGUCCUUAGUGGUGGAGAUGAUGCUCAUGAUGUUCCAUUGAGUAGUCGGUGCAAUGUUGGUACCAAAGUUGCUGAUGAGGAUGCUGGUGCUGCCAGCAUACUUGAUGCCAAAUCGCCUGGUGUUGGUAUUGCUGGGAAUGAAAAUGUUUCUGGUUGUGAAGAUUUGCCGCCGGAGAAUUUCCCGCCUGGAGGUCUUGAUUACGGUGAUGCAUUGCAAUAUACUUCUAGCGUGGAGGAGGUGCCAUCCGAGGAUGAUGAUUUACUUCUGUCAAUUUCUUCUGACCCCUUGACGCAGGAGGUGCUCUUGUCGUCCCAGGAUUUUCUUUCUACAGACCCUAAAAGCGCAUCAAUAUUGGUGUCCUCUCAAGAUGUCCCAUCGUCAAACCCUGAAACUGGAGGCAUAAUGGUCUCAUCAUAG